Molecule: ribosomal RNA, 248 nt
Filed under: uncultured bacterium
Lineage: Bacteria
Description: partial 16S ribosomal RNA
Rfam family: Bacterial small subunit ribosomal RNA
Source: RNAcentral
AUACGUAGGGGGCAAGCGGUUAUCCGGAUUUAUUGGGUUUAAAGGGUGCGUAGGCGGACUUAUAAGUCAGCGGUGAAAGUUUGCAGCUUAACUGUAAAAUUGCCGUUGAAACUGUUAGUCUUGAGUGUAAAUGAGGUAGGCGGAAUGUGUUGUGUAGCGGUGAAAUGCUUAGAUAUAACACAGAACACCAAUUGCGAAGGCAGCUUACUGGGAUACAACUGACGCUGAGGCACGAAAGCGUGGGGAUC